AGAUCACGUAAUUUCCUAUAGUCGAACAGACUAAAAACUCUCAGCAUCUUCACCAAAUAUAUAAAUUAAUUCAACAUCGAGGUCGCAAACAUAAUUAUUAAUAAGAACUUACAAACUAUAUAACGCUGUUAUCCCUAGAGUAACUUCUUCCCUUUUCUUUUAAAAAUUAAAAAUUCAUCUCUUCAAUAAUUACCCCAAUUAAAAAUUUAAAAAUUUUAAGCUUCUAGGGUCUUCUCGUCCCAAAGAAUAAUAAAAGAAUUUUUACUUUUAAUUUAAAUUCAAAAUUAUUAAAUAAAACUUAUCCCUUAAUAUUUCUACCCUUCAUUCCAGUUUUCAAUUAAAAAA
This 345-nucleotide ribosomal RNA is filed under the name Triglochinura aff. villosa MZSP 72976. RNAcentral describes it as "partial large subunit ribosomal RNA". Lineage: Eukaryota; Metazoa; Arthropoda; Arachnida; Opiliones; Gonyleptidae. The record is from RNAcentral.